This 753-nucleotide ribosomal RNA is filed under the name Ochthebius freyi. RNAcentral describes it as "partial large subunit ribosomal RNA". The stretch from base 1 to 577 matches the Rfam family "Bacterial large subunit ribosomal RNA", at positions 1819 to 2925 of the family's 2925-position model. Lineage: Eukaryota; Metazoa; Arthropoda; Insecta; Coleoptera; Hydraenidae. The record is from RNAcentral.
GUCUUUUUGAUAAUAAUUUAAAGUCUGGCCUGCCCAAUGAUAAUUUAAAUGGCCGCGGUAUUUUGACCGUGCAAAGGUAGCAUAAUCAUUAGUUUUUUAAUUGAAAGCUUGUAUGAAAGGUUGAACGAGAAAAUUACUGUCUCAAUUUUAUUUAAUAAGAAUUUUAUAUUUAAGUUAAAAAGCUUAAAUAUUUUUAAAAGACGAGAAGACCCUAUAGAGUUUUAUAUAAUUUAUUAUUUUAUUUUAAAUAAUUAUUUUUAAAUAGUUAAUUAUAUUUUGUUGGGGUGAUAAUUAAAUUUAUUAAACUUUAAUUUUUUUUAAACAUUAAUUUAUGAAUAAUUUGAUCCAAUAUUUUUGAUUAUAAGAUUAAAUUACCUUAGGGAUAACAGCGUAAUUUUUUUAGAGAGUUCUUAUCGAAAAAAAAGAUUGCGACCUCGAUGUUGGAUUAAAAUUUAUUUUUGGUGUAGAAGCUAAAAUAUUAAGUCUGUUCGACUUUUAAAAUUUUACAUGAUCUGAGUUUAAACCGGUGUGAGCCAGGUUGGUUUCUAUCUUUAAAUAAUUAAAAUGUUUUAGUACGAAAGGACCAAAUAUUUAUAAUAUUUAUUUAUUUAUUGAAUAUUAUUGUUAUUUUGGCAGAUUAGUGCAUUAAAUUUAGAAUUUAAUAAUGUAAUUUAUUACAAAUAAUACUUGUUUUAUAAAGAUUUAAUUUUAAUAUUAAUUAGAAGUUUAUUAUUGGUAAUUUGUGUAUUAAUU